Molecule: ribosomal RNA, 315 nt
Filed under: Triticum aestivum (bread wheat)
Lineage: Eukaryota; Viridiplantae; Streptophyta; Magnoliopsida; Poales; Poaceae
Description: partial small subunit ribosomal RNA
Source: RNAcentral
AUGUUUUUUACAUCGCAGGAAAUCAAUAUCAAAUGGAGUCCAAACGCAACGAAACUCCUGGAGGAUUUUUUUGGGCCAGAAGAAAGCCAGUGGGCCAAGGAAGCACCUGGGGGGCUGCUCGAGGGGAGCAGCACCCACCAGGGCGUGCUAGGAGGCCCAGGCGCACCCAGGUGGGUGCUGCCCACCUCAGCCACCGCAGAGUCCAGAACCACCAGAUCCAAUCUAGACACCGUCAUGAAUGGGUUCAACACUUACAUUGGUGCCUCUCCUAUGAUGUGUGAGCAGUUCUUUGUAGACCUAAGGGUCCGUAGUUAG